This 465-nucleotide ribosomal RNA is filed under the name Vreelandella stevensii. Its description in RNAcentral is "partial 16S ribosomal RNA". It matches the Rfam family "Bacterial small subunit ribosomal RNA", at positions 338 to 795 of the family's 1533-position model. The record is from RNAcentral. Lineage: Bacteria; Pseudomonadati; Pseudomonadota; Gammaproteobacteria; Oceanospirillales; Halomonadaceae.
CCUACGGGUGGCAGCAGUGGGGAAUAUUGGACAAUGGGGGGAACCCUGAUCCAGCCAUGCCGCGUGUGUGAAGAAGGCCCUCGGGUUGUAAAGCACUUUCAGUGAGGAAGAACGCCUGGUGGUUAAUACCCAUCAGGAAAGACAUCACUCACAGAAGAAGCACCGGCUAACUCCGUGCCAGCAGCCGCGGUAAUACGGAGGGUGCGAGCGUUAAUCGGAAUUACUGGGCGUAAAGCGCGCGUAGGUGGCUUGAUAAGCCGGUUGUGAAAGCCCCGGGCUCAACCUGGGAACGGCAUCCGGAACUGUCAAGCUAGAGUACAGGAGAGGAAGGUAGAAUUCCCGGUGUAGCGGUGAAAUGCGUAGAGAUCGGGAGGAAUACCAGUGGCGAAGGCGGCCUUCUGGACUGACACUGACACUGAGGUGCGAAAGCGUGGGUAGCAAACAGGAUUAGAUACCCUUGUAGUC